GAUGAACGCUGGCGGCGUGCCUAAUACAUGCAAGUCGAGCGAACGGACGAGAAGCUUGCUUCUCUGAUGUUAGCGGCGGACGGGUGAGUAACACGUGGAUAACCUACCUAUAAGACUGGGAUAACUUCGGGAAACCGGAGCUAAUACCGGAUAAUAUUUUGAACCGCAUGGUUCAAAAGUGAAAGACGGUCUUGCUGUCACUUAUAGAUGGAUCCGCGCUGCAUUAGCUAGUUGGUAAGGUAACGGCUUACCAAGGCAACGAUGCAUAGCCGACCUGAGAGGGUGAUCGGCCACACUGGAACUGAGACACGGUCCAGACUCCUACGGGAGGCAGCAGUAGGGAAUCUUCCGCAAUGGGCGAAAGCCUGACGGAUCAACGCCGCGUGAGUGAUGAAGGUCUUCGGAUCGUAAAACUCUGUUAUUAGGGAAGAACAUAUGUGUAAGUAACUGUGCACAUCUUGACGGUACCUAAUCAGAAAGCCGCGGCUAACUACGUG
This 497-nucleotide ribosomal RNA is filed under the name uncultured bacterium. Its description in RNAcentral is "partial 16S ribosomal RNA". It matches the Rfam family "Bacterial small subunit ribosomal RNA", at positions 28 to 507 of the family's 1533-position model. The record is from RNAcentral.